Molecule: long non-coding RNA, 672 nt
Filed under: Marmota monax (woodchuck)
Lineage: Eukaryota; Metazoa; Chordata; Mammalia; Rodentia; Sciuridae
Source: RNAcentral
CACCCCGCACUGGAGUGGAGCCGUGGAGCUGGAGCAGGACCUUGGGGCAGCCCAGUGGUGACCGGGACCUCAGGGGCUGAGGAGGGGCUCUGUCAAGUGGGGACGGCAUUGAGGAGCCAGGAGCCUCCCCAGGAAAGCAAUGGAGAAGGGGGUUCCUGCCCUCCUCGUCCCUCCUGCUGGGGUCUCCGCCUCCUCGGGCAUCUCCCUGGCCUCCCCCAGGCUCCCGGGCAGUUGAGCUCUGGGGGGUGAAUGGAGCCUCUCCUCUCCCCAGACUCCUGACGUGGGGAGCAGGGACAGGAAGGAAUGCUUGAGAAACGUCCCUGGGGUCCCACUCCUGAUCUCCGCACCUACCUGCCCCUUCCCAGCAAGGUGAGAUUAGCAAAGGCCUCCUUGGUGCUUAGAGAAGCAGAGGCCCAGAGAACUAAAAGGAACUAGAAACAGUUAUUUACUGAACAUUUAUUGGGGGUACAGAAGAAUACAGCCACGUUCCCUCCCUCACGGAGGUGAUGUUUCAACAAGGAUUUUUGAAGGAAAAUAAAGGAGGUAAGAUGACAGUGGGGACGCAGCAGGGGAGGUCAAGGCAGGUGUCUCUGGGAAGGUGUUAUCUGAGCAGAGGCCUGAAAGAGAGGAGGGAGCCCGCCAUGGGAGGUUCUGGGGGAGUAGCUGGUGCAA